AGGUCAUUUUGUGGACAAUUUCUCAGCAAUCCUUUGUAUCUUUCCCAUGCUUCAUAGAGUGAUUCACCUCCUUGUUGUUCAAAACUGGUGAUUGAUUUCUUUAACUU
Molecule: small nucleolar RNA, 107 nt
Organism: Lactuca sativa (garden lettuce)
Lineage: Eukaryota; Viridiplantae; Streptophyta; Magnoliopsida; Asterales; Asteraceae
Source: RefSeq, a predicted model, not a curated record